Molecule: long non-coding RNA, 268 nt
Filed under: Amborella trichopoda
Lineage: Eukaryota; Viridiplantae; Streptophyta; Magnoliopsida; Amborellales; Amborellaceae
Description: long non-coding RNA (ATRI_LNC003119)
Source: RNAcentral
CGAUAUGCAUAUACUGAUAUGUUUAUCCGUGUAUAUAUACACUUGCUUGCUAUCAGUUGUUAUAUACAAUUAUCAAUGUAUAUAUAUGUACGCACAUGCAGCUUUAUGUAUUGAUAAGUGCAUAUAUAUUGAGUAUGGAUACACUAAUACGUACAUUUUAUAUACACUGAUAUAUAUGACCAUAUAGAUGCUUAUUAAUAAUGUAUAUAUAUAUAUAUAUAGAGGGAAAAAUGGGAUUAGCCCACUAGCUCAUAUGAACAUAUAAGCC